GAUGAAGAACGUAGCGAAAUGCGAUACUUGGUGUGAAUUGCAGAAUCCCGUGAACCAUCGAGUCUUUGAACGCAAGUUGCGCCUCAAGCCAUUAGGUUGAGGGCACGUCUGCCUGGGCGUCACAUAUCGUUGCCUGAUGCCAGUUUCCUCGUGAUGGGUGACUGUGCAGGGCGAACGAUGGCUUCCCGUGAGCAUUGUUGCCUCAUGGUUGGUUGAAAAUUGAGUCCUUGGUAGGGAGCGCCGUGAUAGAUGGUGGUUGAGUGACGAACGAGACCCAAUCAUGUGAGACCCCUACCGAAUUUGGCCUUCAUGACCCACAUGCGUCUUUGGAACGCUCAUGACGAGACCUCAGGUCAGGCGGGGCUACCCGCUGAGUUUAAGCAUAUCAAUAAGCGGAGGA
Molecule: unclassified non-coding RNA, 400 nt
Filed under: soil metagenome
Description: partial contains 5.8S ribosomal RNA, internal transcribed spacer 2, and large subunit ribosomal RNA
Rfam family: 5.8S ribosomal RNA (bases 1-122)
Source: RNAcentral